UACGGAGGGUGCGAGCGUUAAUCGGAAUUACUGGGCGUAAAGCGCACGCAGGCGGCUUGUUAAGCUAGAGGUGAAAGCCCGCGCCUCAACGUGGGAACUGCCUUUAGAACUGGCAGCUAGAGUCUUGGAGAGGGAGUGGAUCCAGGUGUAGCGGUGAAAUGCGUAGAUAUCUGGAGAACAUCA
Molecule: ribosomal RNA, 183 nt
Filed under: uncultured bacterium
Lineage: Bacteria
Description: partial 16S ribosomal RNA
Rfam family: Bacterial small subunit ribosomal RNA
Source: RNAcentral